AGUGAACGCUGGCGGUAGGCCUAACACAUGCAAGUCGAACGGCAGCACAGUAAGAGCUUGCUCUUACGGGUGGCGAGUGGCGGACGGGUGAGGAAUACAUCGGAAUCUACUUUUUCGUGGGGGAUAACGUAGGGAAACUUACGCUAAUACCGCAUACGACCUACGGGUGAAAGCAGGGGAUCUUCGGACCUUGCGCGAGUGAAUGAGCCGAUGUCGGAUUAGCUAGUUGGCGGGGUAAAGGCCCACCAAGGCGACGACCCGUAGCUGGUCUGAGAGGAUGAUCAGCCACACUGGAACUGAGACACGGUCCAGACUCCUACGGGAGGCAGCAGUGGGGAAUAUUGGACAAUGGGCGCAAGCCUGAUCCAGCCAUACCGCGUGGGUGAAGAAGGCCUUCGGGUUGUAAAGCCCUUUUGUUGGGAAAGAAAAGCAGCAGGUUAAUACCCCGCUGUUCUGACGGUACCCAAAGAAUAAGCACCGGCUAACUUCGUG
RNAcentral lists this ribosomal RNA (492 nucleotides) under uncultured bacterium. RNAcentral's name for it is "partial 16S ribosomal RNA". It matches the Rfam family "Bacterial small subunit ribosomal RNA", at positions 29 to 507 of the family's 1533-position model. The record is from RNAcentral.